ACACUCCUACGGGAGGCAGCAGUGGGGAAUAUUGCACAAUGGGCGCAAGCCUGAUGCAGCCAUGCCGCGUGUAUGAAGAAGGCCUUCGGGUUGUAAAGUACUUUCAGCGGGGAGGAAGGCGAUAAGGUUAAUAACCUUGUCGAUUGACGUUACCCGCAGAAGAAGCACCGGCUAACUCCGUGCCAGCAGCCGCGGUAAUACGGAGGGUGCAAGCGUUAAUCGGAAUUACUGGGCGUAAAGCGCACGCAGGCGGUCUGUCAAGUCGGAUGUGAAAUCCCCAGGCUCAACCUGGGAACUGCAUUCGAAACUGGCAGGCUAGAGUCUUGUAGAGGGGGGUAGAAUUCCAGGUGUAGCGGUGAAAUGCGUAGAGAUCUGGAGGAAUACCGGUGGCGAAGGCGGCCCCCUGGACAAAGACUGACGCUCAGGUGCGAAAGCGUGGGGAGCAAACAGGAUUAGAAACCCGAGUAGUCCC
This 472-nucleotide ribosomal RNA is filed under the name uncultured organism. RNAcentral's name for it is "partial 16S ribosomal RNA". It matches the Rfam family "Bacterial small subunit ribosomal RNA", at positions 333 to 797 of the family's 1533-position model. The record is from RNAcentral.